GAGCAAAAUGACGCACAGGUUCAGCUUCCAGUGAAAAUAUCGAGAGCUGCUGUUCAGCACUCCCAAAAUCUCGAAGAUGAUGAGUUCAAACAUAGUACAAGAGAAGGCAAAAGUCACUGAGAAGAUGACUUGGACAACAUACUGUCGCACCUCAUAAUCCUUGAAGAGCUUGCGCAUGAAGAACAGCCAUCCAAAUCCAAAGAAGAGCACCUGGGAGGUGACCAUGAUGCUGGAAUCGAUGAGGAAACUCAUGGCGGGCCCCGCGCAGCAGCGAACAACCAGCCCGCGCUCGCGCUGCUGUUUGCAGUGCGCAGGCGCAGGGCCCGGCGCAACGCCCUCCCCGUGGCGGAGCCGGGGCGAGGAGCGCCGCCCUUCCCGCGCACAGAGCGGCCCCUGAAGGGUUGCGCCCCGCCCCGCCCCGCGUCGCCGUCUCCUCAGUGUGUUGUCUUGGAAAGGCGGCGCACUGAGUACGUUUGUAAUAACGGUAAUAAAAAUAAUGAAAACAAACAGGUUUCGCUCGCGUUUUUCCUCAGUGUCCCACGAAAAUGGCUGCUCUAGGGAAGUGGAAAAAGAGCCGGGCUGGAGGCAGCCGUGGAGGAGGCUCAAGCAACUGGUGAGCCAAGGAGCAGGGACCUGCUGGCAGUGUGGUGAAUGGCUAAAGCCAUGGUGUUUGGUGCUCGUACACUGCCAUGACCCCUUCAUAAGAGCAGGGCAGGACGUGUGCCAGCACCGUGCAGGGAAGCAAGGCCUGCAUGGCUGCCAGGCGCCAUCUCGCACCUUGGGCCCUUCCUGCCCUCUGCAAAGGCAGCCAGCCAGGGGCAGCUUUCAGGCCUUUGUGACUGUCUUGUAUCAAGGAAUGGGGCCAGAAGGGAAAUGAAAGUUCAAACAGGGAAUUUCCUGGUAACUAUCAGUGUGAGACUCAAUCCUUCAUGUCGCAACCCUGCCCGCAUUUGAACUUAGUGGUGUCUGUAUCUUUUUUUCGCCAUUAAAAAUACACCUAACCUUUGCCACACCUUUGACUGCAUCUAGAAUGAUAAAUCACAGGGGAAGUGAGAGAAUAAAGCGGAACUAGUCAGGACUUCAACAACGCACAAACCUCUUGCUGAGUGAAAAUCAGGAUCCUUUAUUCAUUACAACUCAUUUCACUAGAAAAAACGAUACUACAUGUGGUUGUGUUGAGUCAUCGGAUUAGUCCCACAGUCUCUUUGAUAGUUUGGCUUUCUAUCUUGCUGUCAGUCAUCAUGUUUUGAAAUCUGUCUCCUUGUCUACAGCAUUGCAAAGACAAAAAAAGCCAUUCAGUUUUCAUGGGCAAAUGAACUGAGGGAGCAAAUUACUGUUUCUGAUCUGAGGCCCUCUUUUACAGCUUCUGGUAUUGCUGCCAAUUAACACUGAGCUGAGAUCAGAGCUUCCCUCCC
RNAcentral lists this long non-coding RNA (1415 nucleotides) under Gallus gallus (chicken). Lineage: Eukaryota; Metazoa; Chordata; Aves; Galliformes; Phasianidae. The record is from RNAcentral.